This is a non-coding RNA of Chiloscyllium plagiosum (whitespotted bambooshark), 739 nucleotides long. The record is from RefSeq and is a predicted model, not a curated record. Lineage: Eukaryota; Metazoa; Chordata; Chondrichthyes; Orectolobiformes; Hemiscylliidae.
UAAAAUGAAACACCUUCUUUAAGGAACUUAGUGAUAUUUUUUGAUUUUUGCCGGAAGAGGUAUUAUAGAAAUAUUUCUUGGAAAAUUAUUUCUCCUUUCCUUUUCAACUUCAGUGCUUUCUACAAAGAAGUGUUCGAUAUUCUCAAUGGAAAGCUUCUCAUCACCUGGCAGUUCUGGUUCUUCAAUGGCUUUCAACUCUGUCAGUGGCUGUUCUGUUUGAUUCAAUGGUGCAGAAGCAUCAUGAUUCAUAAAAUGCUAUGAAACACAAGGGACUCAAUGGACCAAUGGUACUUAGGAGUAUAUCAACAAUGCUUCAUUACAGCAUGUUGUGCAUGGUGGACCGGGUUUUCUGAGGAGCGGCGGUCUUAGGCACAGUACCACACUGCUCCUUUUUUUUGAAGAGUUCUGUGCUUUUGUCAGGAGGUUCUGAUUGCAGACCCUUCAGAAAUGCAGCAUCGUGCUUUCAAUCUGCAAGUUACCUUCUUAUGAAGAGCUGUCCAAGAAAGGCAAACCAUGUCCUCUUUUUCACAGCAGUCAGCUUCUGUAUUCUGAAAUAUAAAAGGCCAAAAUCACAGACGGCCACUUUGCAAGGAGGGCAGCAGAAAUACUUUCCUGAAGUUAACAAGAAAAUAACAAGACGCACUGAGAAUGAAAGCUUUACCCUGUAUGCAAACUGAGAUAUCCCUAAGCUGGGAUUGGAAUCAGAAGAGUAAUACUGUCUCGUGGUGGAAAAUAAAAA